GUGGGGAAUAUUGCACAAUGGGGGAAACCCUGAUGCAGCGACGCCGCGUGAGCGAUGAAGUAUUUCGGUAUGUAAAGCUCUAUCAGCAGGGAAGAAUUAGGACGGUACCUGACUAAGAAGCCCCGGCUAACUACGUGCCAGCAGCCGCGGUAAUACGUAGGGGGCAAGCGUUAUCCGGAUUUACUGGGUGUAAAGGGAGCGUAGACGGUGUGGCAAGCCAGAUGUGAAAGCCCGAGGCUCAACCCCGGGACUGCAUUUGGAACUGUCAGACUGGAGUGUCGGAGAGGCAGGCGGAAUUCCUAGUGUAGCGGUGAAAUGCGUAGAUAUUAGGAGGAACACCAGUGGCGAAGGCGGCCUGCUGGACUGUAACUGACGUUGAGGCUCGAAAGCGUGGGGAGCAAACAGGA
This 407-nucleotide ribosomal RNA is filed under the name uncultured bacterium. RNAcentral describes it as "bacterial SSU rRNA". It matches the Rfam family "Bacterial small subunit ribosomal RNA", at positions 354 to 777 of the family's 1533-position model. The record is from RNAcentral.